RNAcentral lists this ribosomal RNA (929 nucleotides) under Gila atraria (Utah chub). RNAcentral describes it as "partial 16S ribosomal RNA". It matches the Rfam family "Bacterial large subunit ribosomal RNA", at positions 505 to 2006 of the family's 2925-position model. Lineage: Eukaryota; Metazoa; Chordata; Actinopteri; Cypriniformes; Leuciscidae. The record is from RNAcentral.
CAGGGAAAGCUGAAAGAGAAGUGAAACAACCCAUAUAAGCACUAAGAAACAAAGACUAAACCUUGUACCUUUUGCAUCAUGAUUUAGCCAGCACCCUCAAGCAAAGAGACCUUUAGUUUGAAACCCCGAAACCAGGUGAGCUACCCCGAGACAGCCUAUAUUAUUUAGGGCUAACCCGUCUCUGUGGCAAAAGAGUGGGAAGAGCUCCGGGUAGAAGUGACAGACCUACCGAACCUGGUGAUAGCUGGUUGUCUGAGAAGUGGAUAGAAGUUCAGCCUCAUACACCCCAAAUCAAUAUGUAUAUUAUUAAGAUACUGAGGGAAACAUAUGAGAGUUAGUUGAAAGGGGUACAGCCCUUUUAACAAAGGAUACAACCUUUACAGGAGAAUAAAGAUCAUAAUAUGUAAAACAUACUGUUUUAGUGGGCCUAAAAGCAGCCACCUAAAUAGAAAGCGUUAAAGCUCAGACAGAAAGAAGUUUAUUAUACCGAUAAAAAAUCUUAUUUCCCUAAUUAUAUCAGAUUAACCCAUGCCAACAUGGAAGAAAUUAUGCUAGAAUGAGUAACAAGAAGACCUGCGCUUCUCCUUGCACAAGUGUAAACCAGAUCGGACAAGCCACUGGAACUUAACGAACCCAACCCAAGAGGGUAAUGUGAACAACAAAAAUAUCAAGAAGAAUUCACAAUUAGACUAAUCGUUAACCCCACACUGGAGUGCUAUUUUAUAAAGGAAAGACUAAAGGGUGGGAAAGGAACUCGGCAAACACAAGCCUCGCCUGUUUACCAAAAACAUCGCCUCCUGCAACUAAAUUGAGUAUAGGAGGUCCAGCCUGCCCAGUGACUACGGGUUCAACGGCCGCGGUAUUUUGACCGUGCAAAGGUAGCGCAAUCACUUGUCUCUUAAAUAGAGACCUGUAUGAAUGGCUAGACG